CCUACGGGGGGCAGCAGUGAGGAAUAUUGGUCAAUGGCCGCAGGGCUGAACCAGCCAAGUCGCGUGAGGGAUGACGGUCCUAUGGAUUAUAAACCUCUUUUGUCAGGGAGCAAAGGGCGCCACGUGUGGCGCUUUGCGAGUACCUGAAGAAAAAGCAUCGGCUAACUCCGUGCCAGCAGCCGCGGUAAUACGGAGGAUGCGAGCGUUAUCCGGAUUUAUUGGGUUUAAAGGGUGCGCAGGCGGAAUGUCAAGUCAGCGGUAAAAUUUCGGGGCUCAACCCCGUCGUGCCGUUGAAACUGGCGUUCUUGAGUGAGCGAGAAGUAUGCGGAAUGCGUGGUGUAGUGGUGAAAUGCAUAGAUAUCACGCAGAACUCCGAUUGCGAAGGCAGCAUACCGGCGCUCAACUGACGCUCAUGCACGAAAGCGUGGGUAUCGAACAGGAUUAGAUACCCGAGUAGUC
This 459-nucleotide ribosomal RNA is filed under the name uncultured bacterium. RNAcentral describes it as "partial 16S ribosomal RNA". It matches the Rfam family "Bacterial small subunit ribosomal RNA", at positions 338 to 795 of the family's 1533-position model. The record is from RNAcentral.